UUUAAUUGAAGAGUUUGAUCAUGGCUCAGAUUGAACGCUGGCGGCAGGCCUAACACAUGCAAGUCGAGCGGCAGCACAGAGG
This 82-nucleotide ribosomal RNA is filed under the name Vibrio cholerae. RNAcentral describes it as "partial 16S ribosomal RNA". It matches the Rfam family "Bacterial small subunit ribosomal RNA", at positions 1 to 80 of the family's 1533-position model. The record is from RNAcentral. Lineage: Bacteria; Pseudomonadati; Pseudomonadota; Gammaproteobacteria; Vibrionales; Vibrionaceae.